UACGUAGGGGGCGAGCGUUGUCCGGAUUUAUUGGGCGUAAAGAGCUCGUAGGCGGUUGGGUAAGUCGGGUGUGAAAACUCAGGGCUCAACUCUGAGACGCCACUCGAUACUGCCCUGACUCGAGUCCGGUAGGGGAGCGUGGAAUUCCCGGUGUAGCGGUGAAAUGCGCAGAUAUCGGGAGGAACACCAGUGGCGAAGGCGGCGCUCUGGGCCGGAACUGACGCUGAGGAGCGAAAGCGUGGGUAGCAAACAGG
RNAcentral lists this ribosomal RNA (254 nucleotides) under uncultured bacterium. Its description in RNAcentral is "partial 16S ribosomal RNA". It matches the Rfam family "Bacterial small subunit ribosomal RNA", at positions 524 to 776 of the family's 1533-position model. RNAcentral also lists the same sequence under 1 other name. The record is from RNAcentral.